This 587-nucleotide long non-coding RNA is filed under the name Equus asinus (donkey). RNAcentral describes it as "lncRNA (ENSEASG00005027438.1)". The record is from RNAcentral. Lineage: Eukaryota; Metazoa; Chordata; Mammalia; Perissodactyla; Equidae.
AUACUGAUCCCCACCUUCUGGGUGCUGGGAGGCCUCAGGAUGGCUGCUCUCCCCUCCGCCCCCUUCCCCAAUCCUAGAACCUCCAGCAGUGCAGCAUCUAGAGAUCAGAGGAGGAAGCUCAAGAUCUGGGCAGGAUGGGACCCCGCGGGCCUGGGAGAUGAUUGUCCGGAGCAGCCUGAGGAUCACCCGGCUGGCCCGUCGGGGAGGGAAAGAGGCCCUAGACAGGCUGCUCCUUCAGCCCAGCUGCCAGCAUGAAGAAGACAUGCAGAGCAGAGACAUGACCACUGGCCUGCGAAUAAGAGAACUUCUGGGGCAUCUGCUGAAUAUGAUUUGGAAACCGCUGAUCCAGUCCAACAGGAUGCACGGAAACAGCCUGUGUGCAGCCAGGAGCCGAUGACAAGUCCAGCCUCACAGAGAGCCUGGGCCUGUCCCAGCAGAGGACUCCCCACCACCCCAUCUUCCACUCUGGAAACGGUGGGCCCCCCAUCUGCAAAGCAGUUCCAUCUCCUCCAUCCCUGCACCCCAAAACAAACAAACAAACAAAAUGUGGGAGUUAAAGCGGGGUUGAAGAUCCCAUCUGGGCAUUA